GACGAACGCUGGCGGCGUGCUUAACACAUGCCAGUCGAACGAAGAGCGAUGGAAGCUUGCUUCUAUCAAUCUUAGUGGCGGACGGGUGAGUAACGCGUAAUCAACCUGCCCUUCAGAGGGGGACAACAGUUGGAAACGACUGCUAAUACCGCAUACGAUCUAAUCUCGGCAUCGAGGAUAGAUGAAAGGUGGCCUCUACAUGUAAGCUAUCACUGAAGGAGGGGAUUGCGUCUGAUUAGCUAGUUGGAGGGGUAACGGCCCACCAAGGCGAUGAUCAGUAGCCGGUCUGAGAGGAUGAACGGCCACAUUGGGACUGAGACACGGCCCAGACUCCUACGGGAGGCAGCAGGGGGGAAUCUUCCGCAAUGGACGAAAGUCUGACGGAGCAACGCCGCGUGAGUGAUGACGGCCUUCGGGUUGUAAAGCUCUGUUAAUCGGGACGAAAGGCCUUCUUGCGAAUAGUGAGAAGGAUUGACGGUACCGGAAUAGAAAGCCACGGCUAACUACGUG
This 510-nucleotide ribosomal RNA is filed under the name uncultured bacterium. RNAcentral's name for it is "partial 16S ribosomal RNA". It matches the Rfam family "Bacterial small subunit ribosomal RNA", at positions 28 to 507 of the family's 1533-position model. The record is from RNAcentral.